Molecule: ribosomal RNA, 253 nt
Filed under: uncultured bacterium
Lineage: Bacteria
Description: partial 16S ribosomal RNA
Rfam family: Bacterial small subunit ribosomal RNA
Source: RNAcentral
UACGUAGGGUGCGAGCGUUGUCCGGAAUUAUUGGGCGUAAAGGGCGCGUAGGCGGUUUGCUAAGUCUGCUGUGAAAGUCCAGGGCUCAACCCUGGAAGGCCGGUGGAAACUGUCGGGCUAGAGUCCGGAAGAGGCGAGUGGAAUUCCCGGUGUAGCGGUGAAAUGCGCAGAUAUCGGGAGGAACACCAAUGGCGAAGGCAGCUCGCUGGGACGGUACUGACGCUGAGACGCGAAAGCGUGGGGAGCAAACAGG